AUGAGUAGCCAAUUAUCUAUUCUUAGCUGGAAUGUGCGCGGUCUGAACAACCAAGCGCGCAGGGCUGCAGUUCGCGCCAUGUUGGAUCAGCUUUCUUGUUCUAUAGUCUGUUUACAAGAGUCUAAACUAGCUGCUGUAGCCGAUAGUGAUAUUCUGGAGAUUACUGGUAGUGCUUUUGAUUGUCACUCCUAUCUGGCCGCUGAUGGUACGCGCGGAGGUAUACUCCUCUACUGGCGCUCUAGCUGCUUUUCUACGACUGCGAUCACGGUGCGCACCUUUUCUAUCACGGCUGUGUUCACUCCGGUGGGGCAGAAUACGCCGUGGACUCUCACCACCAUUUACGGUCCUCAUGACUAUGAGCGUAAGAAGUCCUUCUUGAAUGAGUUAGCAGAUAUCCAUAACGCCAUGAAUGGGCCAUGGUUUGUAGUUGGUGAUUUCAACCUUAUAACUGACCCCAACGACAAGAACAACGACCGCAUUUGUCGAUGUUGGAUGAACAAGUUCCGCCACACCUUAAACAGAUCAAGCCUUCAUGAGCUGCCCUUGAUUGGUAGGAAAUACACUUGGAGCAACGAGCAGCAGACUCCGACUCUUGUCAAGCUCGACCGUGCAUUUGCCAACGUAGAUUGGGAGCUUUUGUUCCCGGCCGCCAAGCUGCUACCUCAAGCUUCCUCCAUUUCUGAUCAUUGCCCACUGCUCCUUCGCAAUGACGGAGUGCUGAAAACCAAUAGGAGGUUUAGGUUUGAGUCCUACUGGCUAUUUGUAAAUGGGUUCAAGGAUCUAGUGGCUCAGUCCUAG
Molecule: ribosomal RNA, 798 nt
Filed under: Triticum aestivum (bread wheat)
Lineage: Eukaryota; Viridiplantae; Streptophyta; Magnoliopsida; Poales; Poaceae
Description: partial small subunit ribosomal RNA
Source: RNAcentral